Molecule: unclassified non-coding RNA, 663 nt
Filed under: Hevea brasiliensis (rubber tree)
Lineage: Eukaryota; Viridiplantae; Streptophyta; Magnoliopsida; Malpighiales; Euphorbiaceae
Source: RNAcentral
GUAUUUCCAAGAAUCUCCAUGUGAUCAUACCCAAGGGAAGAUAUACCACACACAACCGGUGUUUGAACCACAUUUGUAGGAUCAAAAGUUCCACCUAACCCAACCUCCAAAAUAGCUACAUCUACCUGCUCUGCAGCAAAUAUCUUGAAGGCAAGCAAGGCAAGAAAGCGGAAGUAAGAAGGCAUUGGUAUAUCUUCAUUAGUUUUUUCCUUCAGUCUAUCAUAACACCACCAGAAAUGUGCCAAAAAAUUUUCUUCACAAAUGUCCUUACCAUCCAAACGAAAUCUUUCACGAACAUCGAUGAGGUGAGGAGAUGUGAAAAGUCCUGUGCGGAAGCCAUAAUUACGUAGUAUAGAUUCUGUGAAGGUGCAUGUGGAUCCCUUUCCUUUGGUGCCCGCUACAUGUAUGAUCUUCAUUUCUGAGAUAGCCUGCUCCAGCUCCAGCAUCUUUAAAUAAUCAAACAGCAAAUCGAAGUGAUCCCCUUUGUUGCUCUUGUCAGCACGAGUGCGUCUGGGUAUCAAAGACGAUAGAGCAUCCAUUGCCUCAUCAUAUGGAGUCACGGUAUGCUUCGAGGAUCCACUCACACCUUCUGCCAUAUCUGUUCGGCGGUAAAAAACUAGCAGGAAAGCGAAGGAUGGAUAGCAACAACAACGACUAAUCGGG